GAGCAAAACUCAAAAAAUAAGUCUCAGUUCGGAUUGAAGGCUGAAAUUCGCCUUCAUGAAGCCGGAAUUGCUAGUAAUGGCAGGUCAGCAUACUGCCGUGAAUACGUUCCCGGGCCUUGUACACACCGCCCGUCACACCAUGAGAGUUGGGAAUACCCGAAGCCUGUGAGCUAACUUUUAGAGGCAGCAGUCGAAGGUAGAAUCAAUGAUUGGGGUGAAGUCGUAACAAGGUAGC
RNAcentral lists this ribosomal RNA (235 nucleotides) under uncultured bacterium. Its description in RNAcentral is "partial 16S ribosomal RNA". It matches the Rfam family "Bacterial small subunit ribosomal RNA", at positions 1265 to 1500 of the family's 1533-position model. The record is from RNAcentral.